This 257-nucleotide ribosomal RNA is filed under the name uncultured bacterium. RNAcentral's name for it is "partial 16S ribosomal RNA". The record is from RNAcentral.
CUGCUGCCUUCCGUAGGAGUCUGGACCGUGUCUCAGUUCCAGUGUGGCCGAUCACCCUCUCAGGUCGGCUAUGCAUCGUUGCCUUGGUAAGCCGUUACCUUACCAACUAGCUAAUGCAGCGCGGAUCCAUCUAUAAGUGACAGCAAGACCGUCUUUUACUUUUGAACCAUGCAGAUCAAAAUAUUAUCCGGUAUUAGCUCCGGUUUCCCGAAGUUAUCCCAGUCUUAUAGGUAGGUUAUCCACGUGUUACUCACCCG